UAUAUAUGCAUACAAUGGUGUCACAUGUGAAAAAAGAGAGAAGUGGUUCCUUGUUCUCUCUUUUUUCACACGCGACACCAUUGUAUGCAUAUAU
Non-coding RNA from Podarcis lilfordi (Lilford's wall lizard), 94 nucleotides. The record is from the annotation of a GenBank genome assembly. NCBI's taxonomy places the organism in Eukaryota, Metazoa, Chordata, Lepidosauria, Squamata, Lacertidae.